This is a long non-coding RNA of Herpailurus yagouaroundi (jaguarundi), 1148 nucleotides long. RefSeq lists it as uncharacterized. The transcript has 3 exons. Lineage: Eukaryota; Metazoa; Chordata; Mammalia; Carnivora; Felidae. The record is from RefSeq and is a predicted model, not a curated record.
UUAAAAAUAGAAUUAACAUAUUAUAUAGCAAUCUCACUUCUGGGUACAUAUUCAAAGGAAAUGAAACCAGCAUCUUGAAAUGAUAUCUGCAUUCCCCUGUUCAUUGCAACAUUAUUCACAACAGCCCAGAUAUGGAAACUACUUCUGUGUCUAUGUAUGAACAGAUAAAGAAAAUGUGAGAUAUAUACACAAUGGAAUAUUAUUCAGCCAUGAGAAAGAAGGAAAUUCUGUCAUUUGCAACAACAUGGAUGGACCUUGAAAGCAUUAUGCUAAGUGUGAGCGGUGCAUAACUGGAAGAUGAAAUGAGAUACUGAGUUUCUAUUUUGGGGAGAAAACCAAUGAGUUAUCACCAAGAAAUGACAGCACAGGGACCUAACAAGGAAACUUAGGACACCAAACCACUCCCCACAUCACAAAGAUUGAAUUGUCCUGAUAUCUUUAACUUCUAUGCCAAGAAAGUAUUUUCUGGUGUCUUUUGUUCCUUGCAUUCUUGUGAACCUUCUCACAAUAUUCAUAUCCUUCAUGGUUGGGAUAUAGAACUUUAGCCAAGUCUAUACGAUGCAAAAAUUCCAACAUAAUACAAAGGCCAAAAAUUCAUAUAUUUCCAAAUACAUGUACUCUGGGUAUGUGUGUAUGCACAUGUGUAUAUAUAAGUGUUUAUAUGAAUAUAUUUGACAUUGCAGAAAAAGAGCAUCUGGCAUUUUCAUCCAGAUGUUUGACAUUAUGUAGUUACUAUAAUCCAGCCAGCUGUGUGCUUCAGGUCACUUUUUUUUUUUCUUUUUUGUUCAUUGAUGGGUGUAACAUGCAGAUAAUCAAAAGAUUUGUUGCAAUCACAACAGAGAAAAUCUAUCAUUCCUCCUUGAUCUACCAUAUUAGAUUAGCUUAAAAGGAUUUGGUUUUAAGUAGAACACAUUAGUCAUUAUCCACUAAGUACCUUCUUGUCUUCAAGUUAUUUGCAAAUUGAUUAUAUCAGGGUUUCUGCCAGUAUUUUCUUAAGUAUCCAAGUGAAGGUUACUUGUCUGUUCUGCUUGUUAUAUGACUCGUGACUUCAUUUAGUCUUCUACUGGUGACAAAUUUCCCUGUUAACACUUCAAGAUAAAACCUUUAGGGAACCUGACAUAUGAAUAAAAAGAAUGCAUUAAAACCAA